Molecule: long non-coding RNA, 371 nt
Filed under: Fukomys damarensis (Damara mole-rat)
Lineage: Eukaryota; Metazoa; Chordata; Mammalia; Rodentia; Bathyergidae
Description: lncRNA (ENSFDAG00000031095.1)
Source: RNAcentral
UGGAUUGCUUAAAGCCUGGUGUACGUUGAAGCCUUUGAAUUAAUCAGCUAAUAUAUUUACCUUUUCUAUAAGAAUGACAACCACUAUUUCUUCUUUGCAACUGCUCGCUAAUUGACACCAGUGGAGAUGAGCUGAACGUUACGGAUAACGUUAUGAUCACGUGGCUUCUGUGCUUUCCCGACUCUGCCAUUUCCCUCCAGGGAAAACUUGACAUGCCUGAGAUCCCUGCUUCCUUGCCUUUAUUGUGCUUGGCAAAACUGGCCUUGUGUUCACACAGUGAGGUGGAAAGGACAUGGUGUUUUCCUGAGAUACCGGCAGCCAGACAUAAGAACGCACAUGAGAUUAAAAGCAGCUGUCCAGAAAGUUCCUGA